CAAUAGCGUAUAUUUAAGUUGUUGCAGUUAAAAAGCUCGUAGUCGGAUUUUGGCUGAGAACGAUCGGUCCACCGUUAGGUGUGCACUGAUUGGUCUCAGCUUCCUGGUGAGGAGGUGUGCUUCACGGCCACUUAGUCACCGUGGUUACUUUGAAAAAAUUAGAGUGUUCAAAGCGGGCUUACGCUUGAAUAUAUUAGCAUGGAAUAACACCAUAGGACUCCUGUCCUAUUUCGUUGGUCUCGGGACGGGAGUAAUGAUUAAGAGGAACAGUUGGGGGCAUUCGUAUUUCAUUGUCAGAGGUGAAAUUCUUGGAUUUAUGAAAGACGAACUUCUGCGAAAGCAUUUGCCAAGGAUGUUUUCAUUGA
Molecule: ribosomal RNA, 365 nt
Filed under: uncultured eukaryote
Lineage: Eukaryota
Description: partial 18S ribosomal RNA
Rfam family: Eukaryotic small subunit ribosomal RNA
Source: RNAcentral